This 531-nucleotide long non-coding RNA is filed under the name Coffea arabica (coffee). RNAcentral's name for it is "long non-coding RNA (CARA_LNC003354)". Lineage: Eukaryota; Viridiplantae; Streptophyta; Magnoliopsida; Gentianales; Rubiaceae. The record is from RNAcentral.
AAGACGCAUACAAGUUUUCUAAGUCCAUCCCAUUACAAGCAAACAAGAAAUAGAGAAGAAAGGGAAAGUAAUAGCAAAGCCACAAAAAAGGGAGUCCGAAGAGCACGGAGGAUUUAGUAAGGAUUUCCAUUUUCACUGUAACAACCUAACUCUCGCUUUUAGUAUAGUAAGGAUUUCUGUUAGCUUAUCGGUUUUGAGUUUAUCAAUUUGCUGAUCAUAAUUGAAGGUCGCAUUGAUGUGAUUUGUUUGUUGUGCUGAUGUCUUUUGUUUUAUGAUUAAGGGCUGUAUUUUUAGACAGGUCAUUCAAACUUAUUUGACGUGCACACCAUAUAUUCGCUAUAUGUCCUCAUUUAACAUCUACAAUCAUUGUGUGUUAGUUUUUCUCUGUUUCAGAAAAUUGUUUGAUGUUUUGGAUUGGUUUAAUGUAAUUUCAUCAAUGCAUGUUUCGAUUGUGAUAUGACAUUUGCUUGUUCUUUUGUUUUUUGUAAUUUGUUAUGAUAUUAUGGUUCCCUUCCUGUGUUUACAUGGUAC